GAACGCUGGCGGCGUGCUUAACACAUGCAAGUCGAACGGGUCUGCCCUGUUUUUUGCGGGGUGGGUCAGUGGCGAACGGGUGAGUAACACGUGAGUAACCUGCCCCUCACUUCUGGAUAACCGCUUGAAAGGGUGGCUAAUACGGGGUGUUCUGGCUGUGCCGCAUGGUGUGGCUGGGAAAGAUUCACUUUUGUGGUGUUUUGGUGGGGGAUGGGCUCGCGGCCUAUCAGCUUGUUGGUGGGGUGAUGGCCUGCCAAGGCUUUGACGGGUAGCCGGCCUGGGAGGGUGGGCGGUCACACUGGGGCUGAGAUACGGCCCAGACUCCUGCGGGAGGCAGCAGUGGGGGGUAUUGCACAAUGGGCGGAAGCCUGAUGCAGCGACGUCGCGUGAGGGAUGGAGGCCUUCGGGUUGUGAACCUCUUUCGCCGGUGAAGAAGGUCCUGCUCUUUGUGGUGGGGUUGACGGUAGCCGGGUUAUGAAGCGCCGGCUAACUACGUG
RNAcentral lists this ribosomal RNA (497 nucleotides) under uncultured bacterium. Its description in RNAcentral is "partial 16S ribosomal RNA". It matches the Rfam family "Bacterial small subunit ribosomal RNA", at positions 31 to 507 of the family's 1533-position model. The record is from RNAcentral.